Molecule: small nucleolar RNA, 129 nt
Organism: Xenopus tropicalis (tropical clawed frog)
Lineage: Eukaryota; Metazoa; Chordata; Amphibia; Anura; Pipidae
Source: Ensembl
GCACUGAAAACUCACUCUUUCUGCUGUGCAGUGCAGAGAAAGGAAACAAAGUGCUAGAGAAACGCAGAGGAAAUCCAGACGGAGCAUGUUUUUAACUUUAUGUUCUGUCCCUACACCUCAGCCACAUGC